UAGCCAGGAGAUAUUAAAUAAGCUGAAGGUGUUGGAUAUCAGUCCUACUCAUUUGCCUUUGACUCCCAACUGCUAGAGUAUAAGCCUGCAGGCUGCAACAGUUUCAUUGUGGGCUGUAGCAGAUCAAGGGUGCCAAGGCUGGACCAUAACCAGCACUGAGAGAGUGGCCAGCAAUCCAGUCCUCUGCAAAGCAUCAGAACCAAGAACCAGCACCAAGGACAGAAAAAAACAAGGCAGAACCAGGAAGAUCAGAAGGCCAUUGCAUAAAAGAAAAUGACUGUGCAUGGGCUGCCCUUUCUUCAUUCCUCCUGUGCCUUUAAUUCCUGCUCUCUCAUCUGAAUGGCCAUGUGCACUCUCAUACAAAAGCACUGCCAGAGGGCGGUCCUCUGUUUGAAGGUGUCCUCAGUUGGAAAGACUGCCCUGUCCAAUUACAAUUGAAAGACAAAGAACCACAAGGAAUGCUGUGGAUCACCACUCUGCCCCUGAGCAGACCUUCAAAGAGGAUGAACAGGUGAGAUGUGAGUUCAUGGAGAGAGGGGGAAACACUCUGCUGAAGAGUAGCUGCUAGACAAGAUUAAAGGAAAACCA
Varanus komodoensis (Komodo dragon) is the source of this 588-nucleotide long non-coding RNA. RefSeq lists it as uncharacterized. The record is from RefSeq and is a predicted model, not a curated record. Lineage: Eukaryota; Metazoa; Chordata; Lepidosauria; Squamata; Varanidae. The transcript has 3 exons.